RNAcentral lists this ribosomal RNA (433 nucleotides) under uncultured bacterium. RNAcentral's name for it is "partial 16S ribosomal RNA". It matches the Rfam family "Bacterial small subunit ribosomal RNA", at positions 29 to 507 of the family's 1533-position model. The record is from RNAcentral.
AACGAACGCUGGCGGCAUGCCUAACACAUGCAAGUCGAACGAGACCUUCGGGUCUAGUGGCGCACGGGUGCGUAACGCGUGGGAACCUGCCCUUAGGGUCGGAAUAACUCCCCGAAAGGGGUGCUAAUACCGGAUAAUGUCUUCGGACCAAAGAUUUAUCGCCUUUGGAUGGACCCUCGUUGGAUUAGCUAGUUGGUAGGGUAAAAGCCUACCAAGGCGAGGAUCCAUAGCUGGUCUGAGAGGCUGAUCAGCCACACUGGGACUGAGACACGGCCCAGACUCCUACGGGAGGCAGGAGUGGGGGAUAUUGGAAAGUGGGGGAAAGGCUGAACGUGCACUGCCGCGUGAGUGAUGAAGGCCUUAGGGUUGUAAAGCUCUUUUACCCGGGCUGAUAAUGACAGUACCGGGAGAAUAAGCUCCGGCUAACUCCGUG